CAGCAGCCGCGGUAAUACGGGAGUGGCAAGCGUUAUCCGGAAUUAUUGGGCGUAAAGCGUCCGCAGGCGGCCUUGAAAGUCUGUCGUUAAAGCGUGGAGCUUAACUCCAUUUCGGCGGUGGAAACUACAAGGCUUGAGUGUGGUAGGGGCAGAGGGAAUUCCCGGUGUAGCGGUGAAAUGCGUAGAUAUCGGGAAGAACACCAGUGGCGAAGGCGCUCUGCUGGGCCAUAACUGACGCUCAUGGACGAAAGCUAGGGGAGCGAAAGGGAUUAGAUACCCCUGUAGUCCUAGCCGUAAACGAUGAACACUAGGUGUCGGGGGAAUCGACCCCCUCGGUGUCGUAGCUAACGCGUUAAGUGUUCCGCCUGGGGAGUACGCACGCAAGUGUGAAACUCAAAGGAAUUGACGGGGGCCCGCACAAGCGGUGGAGUAUGUGGUUUAAUUCGAUGCAACGCGAAGAACCUUACCAGGGUUUGCAUCCUGCGAAUCCUUGGAAACUUGGGAGUGCCUUCGGAGCGCAGAGACAGGUGGUGCAUGGCUGUCGUCAGCUCUGUCGUGAGAUGUGGGUAAGUCCGCACGAGCGCAACCCACGUCUUUAGUUGCCAGCAUUAGUUGGCACUCUAGAGAGACCGCGGUGAUAAACCUGAGGAAGGUGUGGAUGACGUCA
Molecule: ribosomal RNA, 667 nt
Filed under: uncultured cyanobacterium
Lineage: Bacteria; Bacillati; Cyanobacteriota
Description: bacterial SSU rRNA
Rfam family: Bacterial small subunit ribosomal RNA
Source: RNAcentral